RNAcentral lists this ribosomal RNA (308 nucleotides) under uncultured bacterium. Its description in RNAcentral is "bacterial SSU rRNA". It matches the Rfam family "Bacterial small subunit ribosomal RNA", at positions 30 to 334 of the family's 1533-position model. The record is from RNAcentral.
AUUGAACGCUGGCGGCAGGCCUAACACAUGCAAGUCGAGCGGUAACAUUUCUAGCUUGCUAGAAGAUGACGAGCGGCGGACGGGUGAGUAAUGCUUGGGAAUAUGCCUUUAGGUGAGGGACAACAGUUGGAAACGACUGCUAAUGCCGCAUAAUAUCUACGGAUCAAAGUGGGGGACCUUCGGGCCUCACGCCUAUAGAUUAGCCCAAGUGGGAUUAGCUAGUUGGUGAGGUAAAGGCUCACCAAGGCGACGAUCCCUAGCUGGUUUGAGAGGAUGAUCAGCCACACUGGAACUGAGACACGGUCCAG